GGGCAGGCAGCCCUUCCUGUCUCACAUGAUGGGGGCGGUAGCCGCCGAGAGGCUCCGCAUCAUGGCGCCGGCACUCCUUGGAGGCAUGACGGACUCUCUUGUGCCCUCCCGUGGGGGUGUGUCUCCGCGGGCAGCGUCUCCUUCUGCGCUGAGUCCUUUCCCCGCCCCGGGAGAGGGGAGCGCUGCGCUGGGCUUGCGGUCAGCACCGCCGGCAGUGCCCGCCGCAGUGCCCUCUGCUGACGCUGCGGACGGCAUCACCGGGGCACCGGCUGGUUCAGCUCCACCUUCCCCGACCACCGUGGGGGCCGGGACUGCGGCACGGCAGGGCGCUGGGGUGUUCAGUUUUACCGCAACUGCUGACGCGGGCGGCAGAAGACCGGUGACUCCCCAUGGCCGCGGAUCCUCCCCGUCAACUCUGUGGACCCUCCCUGCCUGCCAGGUGACCGUGCGUCCAAAGGACCGUGGGCGAUUUUGGAACGAGGUCCGGGAUAAGGCUGAGGAGAUGUGUGACUAUGCCCACCCACGGAGCCUGCCGGAUCACGGGGAAGGCUCCUUUGGCUCUGCUGAUGCUGCAGGGGGUGUGGUGUCCUGUGAUGUGUCACUGCCUCGCAGCCCAGGGGCUGCCGCUGUCCCAGGGUCCACGGGACGUGACACGGUGGGUGAUACAGCUUUACCAGGGUGUCCCCAAGCUUUCCCUGUGCUCAGGGGUGUUACUCAUAACACUCACCAGCCUGUUCCGUAUAAGAUCUUGAGGGACAUCCGACACGCCGUUGCACAGCAUGGUCUUGGGUCUGAUGAGGUUAUGCACAUGAUUCGGUCCUUUGUUGAUGACCUGCUAACGCCUUCCGAUAUUCGUUCUGUGGCACGGGUUCUUUUUAACCCUGUGCAACUUGGCGUGUUUCAGGACAAGUGGUCUGCCUUAGCGGCCAGAGCAGUGCAGAAGAAUGCUACACGGGGGCAGCAGGAUCCCAGGCGUGUGGUCACGAUUGACAUGCUGAUGGGCACAGGCAAUUAUGUUGAUCCUUAGGGGCAGGCUGGAUAUGAUCCUCUUGUACUGGAACAGUGCAGGACAUUAGGCUUAGCAGCUGUGAUCCAGACCCUAGAAAUGGCCGCUCCGAAGGAAUCCUAUUUGACUGUUGUUCAAAAGGAUGAUGAAUCAUUUAUGGACUUUGCAGGGAGGUUGAUAGCCUCUGUGGAACGACAGAUAGCAGAACCUGAGCUGAGGCAGCUAGCCAUUGCGAGCCUCGUUAGGACGCAAUGCAAUGCAGAAUGCAGAGUUAUACGGACUCUUCCUGAAGGG
Molecule: long non-coding RNA, 1300 nt
Filed under: Chloebia gouldiae (Gouldian finch)
Lineage: Eukaryota; Metazoa; Chordata; Aves; Passeriformes; Passeridae
Description: Erythrura gouldiae (Gouldian finch) lncRNA (ENSEGOG00005016984.1)
Source: RNAcentral